GCUCGACGCACCCACCUCGCUCGAGGUUGGGCGAGCGCGGAAGUAGAGUUCGGGACGGCGGAUCGGAAUCCAUCGACCGAUUCUCUCUUUCUCUCCUCUCCCUUGGAUUCCUGUAGGCGGUGGAUCAAUCUUGCCUUCGUGGUGGCGGCAGAACGAGCGCCGUGAGAUCAGGUGGACCUGCUUCUGAUUCCUCCUGGUGCUUGGGACGUUUUCGGCUAGAUUGAUUUACUAGCUACGUCCAAGCAGGCCACUGGAUUGAUUUCAUGAGGCUUACUAGCUACGUCCCAAUCAAGAUAGCUAGACUUACUAGCUACGUCCCAAGCAGGCCAAUCCAAUAUGUUGAUCAAUUUGAUUGUUCUGGCUGGAGGUCAGGAGGUCAGAAGGUGCGUCCUUCACACUAAAUCGUACCCGAAGUUCUACAAUUAGCGCUAAAAUGUAGAUGUUAUGAUGACCAAUGACCAUAAACUUUUCUCAAGAAAUCUGGAAAGAAGCGAGGAUUCUCAAGUAAGAUAAGUCUGCUUACAAAAAUUUGCCUACUGGAAAGUAGAUAAGAGACUCAUGAAGUAAGAAUACAUGCCUACAUAUUAUACAUAGCAGGCUUCUGACUUCUCUGAUUCUGCAAGCCUUGAGGCUGUGAAACAUCUAUGCUAGGUCGCCACACUUCUGCCACCUUCAUUUGAUGAGGUUCAGCGUUCACUACUAUGAAAGAAGAAGGCAUAUAUUUUCCUUGUGGAAUUUCCAGUAGAAUGGCAGUGAGAACGAGUAAAGAUCUACAACACGUAAUACAUUAUUUUGAAGCUACAUGGAAAGCAAAUAUGACUGUAUGGUUCUCACUCAAAGUAGAGGCCCAACAAACUUUUUUGAAGUAGGAGUCAAAAACUACAAAUCCAUCUAUUCCUAGAAUGGAGCUGGUUGGAGUUGAGCCUAUAAUUGAGCGGGUAGUUCGGUGGCACCGACAUCCAACUGAAAGUUUUAUAGGAGGGUUAGUAAAGCAAAUUUGUUCAUGAGGAAAUGUGCCAGAAAAACAUUGAGUCAGAGUGCAA
Molecule: long non-coding RNA, 1043 nt
Organism: Aegilops tauschii subsp. strangulata
Lineage: Eukaryota; Viridiplantae; Streptophyta; Magnoliopsida; Poales; Poaceae
Source: RefSeq, a predicted model, not a curated record